This 130-nucleotide small RNA is filed under the name Marmota monax (woodchuck). The record is from RNAcentral. Lineage: Eukaryota; Metazoa; Chordata; Mammalia; Rodentia; Sciuridae.
GCCAGGUAUGAUGGUGCAUGUCUGUGAUCCCAGUGACUUGGGAGGCUGAGGCAGGAGGAUCACUGCAAGUUCAAAGCCAGCAUUAGCAAAUUAGAGAGGCUCUAAGUAACUUAGUGAGAUCCUGUUUCUA